Non-coding RNA from Caerostris darwini, 108 nucleotides. The record is from the annotation of a GenBank genome assembly. NCBI's taxonomy places the organism in Eukaryota, Metazoa, Arthropoda, Arachnida, Araneae, Araneidae.
ACGGCCGUACCAUGCUGAAUAUACCGGUUCUCGUUAGAUCACCGAAGUCAAGUACUUGGGCGCGGUCAGUACUUGGGUGGGUGACCACCUGGGAACACCGCGUGCCGU